GAUGAACGCUGGCGGCGUGCCUAAUACAUGCAAGUCGAGCGAACGGACGAGAAGCUUGCUUCUCUGAUGUUAGCGGCGGACGGGUGAGUAACACGUGGAUAACCUACCUAUAAGACUGGGAUAACUUCGGGAAACCGUAGCUAAUACCGGAUAAUAUUUUGAACCGCAUGGUUCAAAAGUGAAAGACGGUCUUGCUGUCACUUAUAGAUGGAUCCGCGCUACAUUAGCUAGUUGGUAAGGUAACGGCUUACCAAGGCAACGAUGCAUAGCCGACCUGAGAGGGUGAUCGGCCACACUGGAACUGAGACACGGUCCAGACUCCUACGGGAGGCAGCAGUAGGGAAUCUUCCGCAAUGGGCGAAAGCCUGACGGAGCAACGCCGCGUGAGUGAUGGAGGUCUUCGGAUCGUAAAACUCUGUUAUUAGGGAAGAACAUAUGUGUAAGUAACUGUGCACAUCUUGACGGUACCUAAUCAGAAAGCCACGGCUAACUACGUG
Molecule: ribosomal RNA, 497 nt
Filed under: uncultured bacterium
Lineage: Bacteria
Description: partial 16S ribosomal RNA
Rfam family: Bacterial small subunit ribosomal RNA
Source: RNAcentral